RNAcentral lists this long non-coding RNA (6280 nucleotides) under Nicotiana benthamiana. Its description in RNAcentral is "long non-coding RNA (NBEN_LNC011254)". The record is from RNAcentral. Lineage: Eukaryota; Viridiplantae; Streptophyta; Magnoliopsida; Solanales; Solanaceae.
CAAUCAUGAGCAUCUAUCGUAAAACUACAAAUUUGAAAGAGUCUACACAAACUAUUACAUAACUAGGACAAGGGAAAUAAAUAAUGAUAAGAGGGAGGGACACUGGGCUGCGAAUGCCGAACAACUACCUACUUAACUCCGAAGAUUUGCUUGAAGAUAUCAACCCUCGCAAACAGGACUUGAGGCGCCUGAAUCUGCACAGGGGGGUACAGGGAGUAAAGUGAGUACUCCAACUCAGUGAGUAAUAAUAAUAAAUGAAGACUAGGCUAUAAGAAAUCACGUAAAAACACAAUAACAUGCUAUAAAGAAGCAGUAUAAAACUAGUAAAAGCAAUGAAAUAGUGAAAACCCUUAAUGUCCCCUUAGUUCAGUUUAAGAUUCUUUUAAAUACCUUUUUAUUAGUUACGCAGGUAAAUGACAGACAUCUAGAAAAGAUAAACACAUAAAGAACCGUCCCUCGGGCACAAUACCAACAGAAUGAGCCUUUCUAGCAACACAUGGAACAAUCCCAGCCCCUCGGGCUAUAUCUCAUAUCAUAAUGGGUACUCGUGCUCACUGGGGAUGCACAGACUCAUAGAGGGUACCCUUACCGCCCAAGCGUAAUAUCAAUUCAUCUCGUGGUAUAAUCAAUAGGCUCUCGACCUCAUAAUCAUGAAUCAGCUCAAUAACCUCACAACGAAGGUCCUCGUCCUUACUCAAUCAGAAUCUCAUAAGCCACUCGGGCAACAAUUAAACAUGAUGGUCAUCCCAAAUUAUCAUUUAAUGUCUUAAAACAUAGUAAACAUGGUUGAAUUAUAAAAAUAGUAGAUAUGGCAUGACUGCAUACAAUAAUAAAGUCAAAACAGUGAGGAAACAUCGGUAAGAAUCCCAUAAGGGUCCAAAUAGUUGGCACAAGGCCCAAAUAUGGCAUUUAAUCGAAAACAUGAUGAUAGCAAAUAAUUUUCAAUCAAAUAUGCGGUAAAAUCGUCAUUUUGGAUGGACUAAGUCACAAUAUCCAAUGGUGCACGCCCCCACGAUCGUCGUCUAGCAUGUGCGCCACCUCAAUAUAGCACAACGAUAUGUAAUUCGAGGUUUCAUACCCUCAAGACCACAUUUACAAUUAUUACUCACCCUAAAUCGGUCCAAACUCUAGCCCGCGAUGCCUUUGCCUCUCAAAUAGGCCUCUAAAUGCUCCAAAUCUAAUCGAAAUUAGUAUAUUAUCAUCAAUAUAGACAAAAGGAACAAAUCCCAGGCAAAAAUAAUCGAAUUAACUCAAGAAUCUCGAAAUCGCUCAAACCUGGCCCCCGGGCCCACAUCUCGAAAUUCGACCAAAGUCUCAAAUCCGAUAACCCAUUCAAUUACGAGACUAUCCAUACUAGUUUCACUCAACUUUGAAUUCGAAUCGGCUUUCAAAUCCCAAAAUUUUAUUUUAUGAAGUUCCACAGUUUUCCCCAAAAUUUACAUCCUAAAUCUCUACUCAAAUGAUAAAUCCAAUGUUAUAAUCUUGUAUUUUAGCCAAAAUUUAGUUAGAAUCACUUACCGCGAUGGUUUUCUUAUAACUCCCUCAAAAAAUAUCCAAAGCUCGAGCUCUCUAGGUCAAAAUAUGAAAUAAAACCCCAAAUCACGUAUUUAUAGAGCACAUUUCGGAUCCCUAUCACCGCUGACUGAGGUGAAACCACUGCUACAACGAAAAAUAUUGAAUGCAGUGACAUACUUUAGUAUUUUGCCAUAACUUUCUCAAUAGAUGUCCAAAUUAUGAUUUCUUUAGCUUUCUGAAAAUUAGACACGAAGGGCUACAACUGUAGUUUUUGAAUCAUCUUUAAAUUUCUUGUAGAUCAAAAGAUAUAGGCUUCCAAAGUUAGACCAGUGAAACUACUGAUUCUUCCUCACCGUGGACCGCGAACCAUUUUCCGCCCCAACGGUGAAACCACUGUGCCCCGCAGUAAAACAUCAACCCAAGCUGUAAAUUUAAGCACCACAACCAAUGUCUGAGUCUAGGUAAUGCCCGGACUCACUCAAAACUAACCCGAAAUACAACCGAGGCCCUCGUGACCUCAACCCAAACAUACCAACACCUCCCAUAACAUCAUUAAAACUGAGUCAAGCUUUCGAAUCACUCAAUACGAUGCCAAAAUACCAAAUCAACUUCGGAUUCAAGCUGAAGAACAUAGGAACUUUCAAAUUCCACAAACAAUGACGAAACCUAUCAAUUCAACUCAGAAUGACCUAAAAUUUAGCAUACACAUCACACACAACGGACCUAAUGCGACUUCCGAAAUUCCAUUCCGACUACUAUAUCAAAAUCUCAUCUAUUAACCGAAAAACAUCAAAAUUCCAAUUUCGCCAAACUUUCCAUGGACAUCUAAAACACAUUCUGAUCACGCUCCUAAGUCCGAAAUUACCUAACGGAGCUAACCAAAUCACAAAAAUUCCAAUAUGAUAUCAUAUACUAACAAGUCAAAACUUGGUCAAAUCUUUCAAAUUUUAAACUUCAAACUGAGCAAUGUUCUUCCAAAUUCAUUCCGAUUACCCUGAAAAUCAAAACCGACAAUUUACAUAAGUUAUAAUACAUCACACGGGGCUAGUCAUGCCCGAGAACUGGCAAGCAAAGUACAAAAUCUCAAAACGACCGAUCGGAUCGUUAUACUUCUAUAGUGAUCAGAUAAGGGGAUCUAAUAUCCCCUUCCUUGUUUCUGACUGGAGCUGAACUGCUACAUAGAUUGAUGAACAUGCUCCAAGAGAGUGAUUUUAUUCCAUACUUAGCAGAGAAGAAUGAUCCAUUUAUCACCCAUUUGUGUUAUGCAUAUGAUACUAUUCUAUUUUUAUUAGGUAAUUUAAUUUCUCUCGGCUUGAUGAUGGACAAACUAAGAGCAUAUGAAUGUAUAUCUAGUCAGAAAGUCAAUAAAGAAAAAUCCGGCUCCUCACAGUUUGAUGAAGAGAAUGCCAACAACAACAAUUACCCAGUAUAUUCCCACCAAGUGGGGUUUGAUGAAGAGAAUGUCAAUGAUGUCAAAAAUAUUAUUGGCUUUCCACACUUUCAGUUCCCCAUGCAAUAUUUAGGCUGUCCUAUUUACUUGGGAAGGAAGAAAAUUGCCCACUUCAACAACAUGGUGGCCAAAGUCUCUAGAAGAAUGCAAGGUUGGCAAGGGAAACUUCUUUCCUUUGGAGGUAAAAGGAGGUAAAGUCGUUCUAGUAAAAUAUGUUCUUCAAUCUCUCUCGCUUCAUCUUCUAUAUGCCUUGUAUCCCCCCAAAACGGUCUUAUACCAAAUUGAGAGAAUAAUCUCUAAUUUCUUUUGGGGUGAGAUUAAAAAAAAAAAAAGAAAAAGUACACUGGAUAUAAUGAGGUAGAAAUAAGGUACACUGGAUAUAAUGAGCUCAUUUAUGCUAUCCCACCAUUGAAGGAGGAGCUAGUUUUAGGUCUCUAUAUGACACUUGCAGAGCCUUCUCAGCUAAAUUUUGGUGAAAUUUUAGAACCAAAAAAGGAUUGCUAAAGAAUUUUCUAGAGGCAAAGUACUGCAAAAGAAAACAUCCAAUACAUAGAUAGUGGUCAUAUGAUCAAUUUCACACCCGGAAAAAGGCUCAUGGAUACCAAGGAAGGUGCUGAAAAGUUCAUUUUAUGGAAGAUAGGCAAAGAAAAUAUGUCAUUUUGGUAGGAUAAUUGGCCCGGUAGAGGUGCAUUGGCUAAUCUCAAGCAGCUACCUAAUGCAUCUAGACAUACUAAGGUCCUGAAAUUCGUUGAAGAGGGAAGAUGGAAUGUGACCAAGCUUAAGGAAGUCCUCCCCGAUAGUUUCAUUAGCAAUAUUUUGGAGAUUAAGAUUUAUGGGGGUAGCGAAGAUUUGCCAGUUUGGACAGUUGAUUCAAAUGGAGUCUUUACUUGUAAAUCGGCAUGGAAAAAUAUGAGAAAACCAAGGUCCAGAUCUUUCACUGCAUCUAUGGUGUGACACCAGAGAAUUCCUUUCAAAAUCUCAUUUUUCUGUUGAGGAUGAUUCGGUCCCGAUGAAAUAAUUCGGAAAUUUGGUAGAAUGGUUCCGUCCAUGUGAUCCUGCUGUACUAAUCACAAUGAGGAGACUGUGACUCAUCUCUUUUGCAAAAGCCAGAUUGCUACACAAAUUUGGCUAUUCUUUGGUAGAUGUUGAUGCAUUACCUUGAGAAUGGAAAAUAUCAUACAGAUUUUAAUGUCUUGGAGGCUAGCAAAAACAAAGAAUAAAAUCCAUGUUGCUUUGUUACAAUGUCUAUCGUUACUUAUCUGUUAUGAGAUUUGGAAGAGUAGGUGUGCUUCCAUAUUUGAAAAUAUUCACAUGUCCGAAAGGUUUAUAAUUCAGUAAGUUUCUAAAUAUAACUUUCUUUUUAAACAUUCUAUUCCCCAAAGUUAAUCUUCCUCAUCCUUGGCAUGUUUUAUGCACAACAGUGGAGACGACUAGACAGAUCAUUACCAACCAAUUGGUAAGGUGGUAUAAACCUGAUGAUGGAUGGGUAAAAUUAAACAUGGAUGGUUGUUGUAAAAGGAAUCCAGGAAACUUUGGCGGAGGGGGAAUACUCAGAAACAGUCAAGGUGCUUGCAUUUUCGCAUUUGAUAAUUACUUUGGUGUUAGGCACCCUCGGAUCCCGUGGUUCUAGCACGGUCACUUAAAUUGUUAUGAAUGGCUAAAAUCUGAUUUUAAUAUAUGAAGAGCCUAUGUGCCAAUUUUUCUUUUUACCACUUUUAUUUAACAUAAUAUUUAUUUGAGAAAGUCAACGUCGUUUAAAGUGUGUUUUCGGAUUGCGCCGCAUCAAAUGAACCCGCAAUCCUAGGCACACUCUAUUCAACGUUUUAGGAUUUGGAUUUGGGCCGCAAAAAAUGCCCACCCGUAUUUGAGAAUGUAAUUUAUUAAAGUCGCACCUAAUAGAGUCUAACGCGUUGUAAUCUUUUGGGAGGGUCGUGAAAUUCACUAAGCGACCCUUCCCGAUUUCUAAAAUAAUUUUUAAUUGAGGGCCCCACAAUUUGCAUUUUUAUUUGGCGAGGCUCGCCUCAACUCAAAUUUUAAAGGGAUUUUAUUCAACUAAAAUGAACUACGGAUAUUUAUGAAUUAAUUACUUCCUAUGUUUAGGGUUUUCAUAUAACGUUUCCCUUCCAAUCACAAGCAGUACACUCUCAAACGCAUUACACUUGAACUGUAGGCAUGAUAUUCACAACAUGAAUGGUAGUGGUCAGAAUGGUAAUAAGUAAAAUUGGUUUUACUCAUAGUGUGUUUUCUUCAUACUAAACAUUUCCUGGUCCCAUUUUCAAGUUCAUAUGGGAGGCUUAACAUGCAGAUUGGAAUGGAACUUUAAACAUUCAAAUAAAAAUCCAAUUUCACUUUAGUUCCAAGCUAAAACUUGGUUUUCUAUUCACAAUCAAAAAGUAAAUAGAAGAAAAUUUUAACUGAAGUCGGGCAACAAUUUGAACCUAAGCCGUUAUUAGAAUUGCCCAGAAUGUUGACACGAGAUGUUAUCAAAAUUGCAAAUAGGAACAAUUCAUUAAACAAUCAGAGACUAGCUUUACAGAUUGGACCAUAUACACAGUAAAUUACUUCAAUAUUGUUAAACAAAACUGAGAUAAUCCAAUUGGAAACACAAUUUGCGAGUUUAAAGAUAUUUCAAUUUUCCAACCGAACUGAAAUCCAAUAUAUAUUGACAACAUAUUAAAGCAACAGAAAUUCUAAGUUCAGCAGAGGUGUCAAAAUUUCAACCAAAACAUAACACAAGGAAUUUGGGAAAACUGACCUAACUGGAACAACAAUAUCACUAACAAAUUGGCCAAAUAGAGGCGAAAUUCAAGCCGAACCAGAACUCCGUACAGUGCAGCAUAUUAUGACAUUUAAUUGACAAUUAAAGCAAUUACAUUGUUGGAGAUUUGAAGUAAAUACCUUAAUAAGCAGUAAAAUAACUAGAACACCAAGCAAGAGCUGAAAUCAAUGGACUGGACAAAACGGCUACAACAACAUGCAGUGAACUCAACCAGCAAGGAAGUCUUUCAGCUCCGCCAGAUCCGAAAUCGUCCAGAGAACAUUAAAAAAGGAAUCUCAAGCUUUGAAUGGGCGAUGUAGCCUUCUGCUAAUGAAUUUUGUGUUUUCUUCCUUUGGGAUGUUCUGUGGGGUUUCUAGAAAUGACGAUGGAGAGGAAUCCCGUUAUUUCUGUGAUUUUUGUUUUGAUUUUGAGAUUUUUCCUUUUGGUGUUCUGUUCCCCCCGGAGGUUGUGAACGAGAGGGGAGGGGUCUUUUUAAGAUCCGGAGAUGAAGGAAGGGGUCACCAAAAAUCUGGAAGGGGUCACGCUUUUUCGUCUCC